This 522-nucleotide ribosomal RNA is filed under the name uncultured bacterium. Its description in RNAcentral is "bacterial SSU rRNA". It matches the Rfam family "Bacterial small subunit ribosomal RNA", at positions 29 to 526 of the family's 1533-position model. The record is from RNAcentral.
AGCGAACGUUAGCGGCGGGCCUAACACAUGCAAGUCGAACGCGAAAGGUCUUCGGACUGAGUAGAGUGGCGCACGGGUGAGUAACACGUAGGUAAUCUACCCUUUGGCGGGGGAUAACGUUCCGAAAGGAGCGCUAAUACCGCAUAAGACCCACGGAGUCUCCGGACGCUGUGGGAAAAGGUGGCCUCUUCUUGAAAGCUACCACCGAAGGAUGAGCCUGCGUCCCAUCAGCUAGUUGGUAAGGUAAUGGCUUACCAAGGCGAAGACGGGUAGCUGGUUUGAGAGAAUGAUCAGCCACACUGGCACUGGAACACGGGCCAGACUCCUACGGGAGGCAGCAGUGAGGAAUAUUGGGCAAUGGGCGAAAGCCUGACCCAGCCACGCCGCGUGAGUGAUGAAGGCCCUCGGGUCGUAAAGACUCUUUCAGCCGGGAAGAAAACGCAUGGGUUAAUACCCUGUGUGGAUGACGGUACCGGAAUAAGAAGCACCGGCUAACUACGUAGCCAGCAGCCGCGGUAAAGU